GAUGAACGCUGGCGGCAUGCCUAAGACAUGCAAGUCGAACGAGGUGGCCCAUUGAUUUUAUUGAAAGCGGAGUGCUUGCACAAAACUGGAUUUAAUUUGAUUUGGAUUCUCCACCUAGUGGCGAAAGGGUGAGUAACACGUAGGAAUCUGCCUUUGAGACUGGGAUAACAAUUGGAAACGAUUGCUAAUACCGGAUGAUAUAUUAAAUGGUACGUUAUUUAAUAUUAAAGGAGCCUUUAAAGCUUCACUUAAAGAUGAGCCUGCGGCGUAUUAGCUAGUUGGUAAGGUAACGGGCUUACCAAGGCGACGAUGCGUAGCCGACCUGAGAGGGUGAUCGGCCACAUUGGGACUGAGACACGGCCCAAACUCCUAUGGGAGACAGCAGUUAGGAAUAUUCGACAAUGGAGGAAACUACUGAUCGAGCAAUGCCGCGUGAGUGAUGACGGUCCUUUGGAUUGUAAAACUCUUUAUUAGGGAAGAACGACUAGUAUAGGAAUGAUACUAGAGUGACGGUUACC
This 518-nucleotide ribosomal RNA is filed under the name uncultured bacterium. RNAcentral describes it as "bacterial SSU rRNA". It matches the Rfam family "Bacterial small subunit ribosomal RNA", at positions 28 to 480 of the family's 1533-position model. The record is from RNAcentral.